UGGCGACCGGCGCACGGGUGAGUAACACGUAUCCAACCUGCCGAUAACUCGGGGAUAGCCUUUCGAAAGAAAGAUUAAUAUCCGAUAGGAUAUCAAGGUCGCAUGAUCUUGAUAUUAAAGAAUUUCGGUUAUCGAUGGGGAUGCGUUCCAUUAGUUAGUUGGCGGGGUAACGGCCCACCAAGACGACGAUGGAUAGGGGUUCUGAGAGGAAGGUCCCCCACAUUGGAACUGAGACACAGUCCAAACUCCUACGGAAGGCAGCAG
RNAcentral lists this ribosomal RNA (264 nucleotides) under uncultured bacterium. Its description in RNAcentral is "partial 16S ribosomal RNA". It matches the Rfam family "Bacterial small subunit ribosomal RNA", at positions 89 to 354 of the family's 1533-position model. The record is from RNAcentral.